GAUCCAGACAACCUCGGGAAACUGAGGCUAAUCUGGAAUAGGGCUCUCAUCCUGGAGUGGAGAGAGCCUGAAAUGCUCCGGCGCCAUAGGAUGUGGCUGCGGCCGAUUAGGUAGACGGUGGGGUAACGGCCCACCGUGCCAGUAAUCGGUACGGGUUGUGAGAGCAAGAGCCCGGAGACGGUAUCUGAGACAAGAUACCGGGCCCUACGGGGCGCAGCAGGCGCGAAACCUUUACACUGCACGCCAGUGCGAUAAGGGGACUCCAAGUGCGAGGGCAUAUAGUCCUCGCUUUUUGCGACCGUAAGGUGGUCGCGGAAUAAGUGCUGGGCAAGACCGGUGCCAGCCGCCGCGGUAAUACCGGCAGCACGAGUGAUGACCGCUGUUAUUGGGCCUAAAGCGUCCGUAGCUGGCCGCGCAAGUCUAUCGGGAAAUCUCUCCGCUUAACGGAGAGGCGUCCGGUGGAAACUGUGUGGCUUGGGACCGGAAGACCAGAGGGGUACGUCUGGGGUAGGAGUGAAAUCCCGUAAUCCUGGACGGACC
Molecule: ribosomal RNA, 540 nt
Filed under: Natrialba hulunbeirensis
Lineage: Archaea; Methanobacteriati; Methanobacteriota; Halobacteria; Halobacteriales; Natrialbaceae
Description: bacterial SSU rRNA
Rfam family: Archaeal small subunit ribosomal RNA
Source: RNAcentral